GAUGAACGCUGGCGGCGUGCUUAACACAUGCAAGUCGAACGGUAAGGCCCAGCUUGUGGGGGGUGCUCGUGGCGAGAGGGGGUGUGAAACAUGAGAGUCCCCCGCCCUUGACUUUGGGAAAACUGCAGGACACUGGGUAAUACACCGGAUAGGCGUCUCCGCUGCGUGGGGGGGGUUGGAGAGUUUCGGUGGUGGGGGAUGGACCCGCGGCUUAUCAGCUUGUUGGUGGGGUAGUGGCUCACCAAGGCGUUGACGGGUAGCCGGCCUGAGAGGGUGACCGGCCACACUGGGACUGAGACACGGCCCAGACUCCUACGGGAGGCAGCAGUGGGGAAUAUUGCACAAUGGGCGGAAGCCUGAUGCAGCAACGCCGCGUGCGGGAUGACGGCCUUCGGGUUGUAAACCUCUUUCGCCUGGGACGAAGCGAGAGUGACGGUACUUGGUGAAGAAGCACCGGCUAACUACGUG
This 468-nucleotide ribosomal RNA is filed under the name uncultured bacterium. RNAcentral describes it as "partial 16S ribosomal RNA". It matches the Rfam family "Bacterial small subunit ribosomal RNA", at positions 28 to 507 of the family's 1533-position model. The record is from RNAcentral.